AUGUUGGCACCAGCAUUGAAGGGAGUGAUGGGCUUUGGCUCCAGAAAAUGCAAUGACCUGAAAAUCAACCAGAGGGAAGAAAGAGAAGAAAGGAAGAAAGAAAGAAAGAAAGAAAGAAAGAAAGAAAGAAAGAAAGAAAGAAAGAAAGAAAGAAAGAAGAAAAAAAGAAAGAAAGGAAGAAAGAAAAAGAAAGAAAGAAAGAAGAAAAAGAAAGAAAGAAAGAAAGAAAGAAAGAAAGAAAGAAAGAAAGAAAGUCUCAAAAUGAUGGUUCUUAAUAAUUAGAAGUUGUAAUUAGUAACAAAUAUUAAAUAUCCACAAUAUACAUUAUAUUCCCCACAGGUCUAGGGAAAUACAGAUAUUAAAGUAUUUCUACCUUCAAGUAAUGAUUCUCUUUGGGAGGAAAUAGGCUACUACUAAAUAGCACUACUAAAUAGUGUAUUUAGGAAAUACACUACUAAAUAGCAUGUCAUUAUGUAGAUACAUAUCACACAUACUUAGAUAAGUAUUAGUGUCAGAUGCCAAGAGAUAAGGAGAGAUCAAGUGCAAGACAGCAUUUGUCUUGUGUUUCAGCAACUGAGAGGAUAUCUUGAAGGAAAUUGAACUUGAUAAUUUCAAUGGAUGAUGGCAGGCUGGGAUUGGCAUUGUAGGAAGAGGGGACAAUUUGUAUGCAAACAAUGAAUUUGAAUGUAGAAAAGACAAAGAAAAGGAGAGCUAGCAAUUUUUCUUGUAAUUAAAGGUAACAAGUAAAAGAAAAGGAUAGAGAUUAAUUUUGGUGGUCUUUAAUGUUAGCCCAAGGAGUAUGUUCUUAAUUUUGUAUCCUCUUUCCAGUUAUCUUUGGACUUUACAUUCUGUUGGAUCCUGAUACCAUUGCAAGUAAAAAUGCUUGCAAAAUCUUGUUCUAACUUCAAAUGGAAAUGCUUGACAUCCUAUACUUGUAGAAUACAUAAUAGUUGUUACCAAACUGUGAAAUUCAGAGCAGUGUGAGUUUUUAAGCAAAACUUACCUCCUAAAGCAUAUAAAAUACAAAACUUAAAACUUUUUCUUACAACUUUUAAAUACAUUUAAUUUCCAGAGAAAAUAUUAUUGGUCUCAAGGUUACAAAUCAACAGUACUUGGAAUUAUCAAAAUUAAUCUUGGUAUAUUACAAAAACUUUUACCAUUUAUACUAAACAGAAACUCAAGUUCAUGAUGACAUGAUGCUGAAAAGGUAUAGGUUAAAAUGCAAAUUUUAUGAUACUGUAUGAUUCAGUAAUCAUUAUCUUUUUUAAAGAUUUAUUCAUAUUGAAGGAGGGUAGGGGCAGUGGGAGAGGGAGAGAGGGUAUCCCAGGUGGACUCCACGUGGAACCAGGCAAGUCUCAAACUCACAACCAUGAUCUCGCGACCUGAGCUGAAAUCAGGAGCUAGACACUUCGUUGACUGAGCCAUCCAGGAGCUCUGAAAGCAUGUUCUUAAAAAAAUGUGGUUAGUGUUGUCACCUGCUGGAUAUUUGUGGAAUGGGGAAAUGAGAACUGAAAAGAGAAAACACAAUAUUUCUAUGUAAUAAUAAAAAAAUUAAAAUAAUGCUUUUUUAAAAAAAU
This 1577-nucleotide long non-coding RNA is filed under the name Canis lupus dingo (dingo). RNAcentral's name for it is "lncRNA (ENSCAFG00020012103.1)". Lineage: Eukaryota; Metazoa; Chordata; Mammalia; Carnivora; Canidae. The record is from RNAcentral.